This 230-nucleotide ribosomal RNA is filed under the name uncultured microorganism. RNAcentral describes it as "partial 16S ribosomal RNA". It matches the Rfam family "Bacterial small subunit ribosomal RNA", at positions 524 to 754 of the family's 1533-position model. The record is from RNAcentral.
UACGUAGGUGGCAAGCGUUGUCCGGAAUUAUUGGGCGUAAAGCGCGCGCAGGCGGUCACUUAAGUCCAUCUUAGAAGUGCGGGGCUUAACCCCGUGAUGGGAUGGAAACUGGGAGACUGGAGUAUCGGAGAGGAAAGUGGAAUUCCUAGUGUAGCGGUGAAAUGCGUAGAUAUUAGGAAGAACACCGGUGGCGAAGGCGACUUUCUGGACGAAAACUGACGCUGAGGCGC